RNAcentral lists this signal recognition particle RNA (97 nucleotides) under Tenderia electrophaga (SeqCode). RNAcentral's name for it is "signal recognition particle sRNA small type". It matches the Rfam family "Bacterial small signal recognition particle RNA". Rfam says of the family: The signal recognition particle (SRP) is a universally conserved ribonucleoprotein involved in the co-translational targeting of proteins to membranes. Archaeal SRP consists of a 7S RNA and homologues of the eukaryotic SRP19 and SRP54 proteins. Lineage: Bacteria; Pseudomonadati; Pseudomonadota; Gammaproteobacteria; Tenderiales (SeqCode); Tenderiaceae (SeqCode). The record is from RNAcentral.
CGUCGGUCACCUCGCAACGAUACGUUACGAACUCCGCCAGGCCCGGAAGGGAGCAACGGUAGUAAUGGACUCGUGUGCCGGGGAGCGGCGGGCGUGG